UGGGGAAUUUUGGACAAUGGGGGAAACCCUGAUCCAGCCAUUCCGCGUGAGUGAAGAAGGCCUUCGGGUUGUAAAGCUCUUUUGUCCGGAACGAAACGGGUAGCGUGAAUAUCGCUGCCUACUGACGGUACCGGAAGAAUAAGCACCGGCUAACUACGUGCCAGCAGCCGCGGUAAUACGUAGGGUGCGAGCGUUAAUCGGAAUUACUGGGCGUAAAGCGUGCGCAGGCGGUUUUGUAAGCCAGAUGUGAAAUCCCCGGGCUUAACCUGGGAAUGGCAUUUGGGACUGCAAGGCUAGAGUUUGGCAGAGGAGACUGGAAUUCCUGGUGUAGCAGUGAAAUGCGUAGAUAUCAGGAGGAAUACCGAUGGCGAAGGCAGGUCUCUGGGCUAUAACUGACGCUCAUGCACGAAAGCGUGGGGAGCAAACA
This 427-nucleotide ribosomal RNA is filed under the name uncultured bacterium. RNAcentral's name for it is "bacterial SSU rRNA". It matches the Rfam family "Bacterial small subunit ribosomal RNA", at positions 355 to 774 of the family's 1533-position model. RNAcentral also lists the same sequence under 1 other name. The record is from RNAcentral.